RNAcentral lists this ribosomal RNA (252 nucleotides) under uncultured bacterium. Its description in RNAcentral is "partial 16S ribosomal RNA". It matches the Rfam family "Bacterial small subunit ribosomal RNA", at positions 525 to 776 of the family's 1533-position model. The record is from RNAcentral.
ACGGAGGGUGCAAGCGUUGUCCGGAUUUAUUGGGUUUAAAGGGUGCGUAGGCGGGUCUUUAAGUCCGUGGUGAAAGCCCAUCGCUCAACGAUGGAACUGCCAUGGAUACUGGAGACCUUGAAUUCAGUUGAGGUAGGCGGAAUUGAUGGUGUAGCGGUGAAAUGCAUAGAUACCAUCAGGAACACCGAUUGCGAAGGCAGCUUACUGGGCUUGAAUUGACGCUGAGGCACGAAAGCGUGGGGAGCGAACAGG